UGCCAGACGCCGCGGUAAUACGAAGGGGGCUAGCGUUGUUCGGAAUCACUGGGCGUAAAGAGCGUGUAGGUGGCCAUAUAAGUCAGAGGUGAAAGCCCAGGGCUCAACCCUGGAAUUGCCUUUGAAACUAUAUGGCUCGAGUAUCGGAGAGGAGUGUGGAAUUUCUAAUGUAGGGGUGAAAUCCGUAGAUAUUAGAAGGAACACCAGUGGCGAAGGCGGCACUCUGGACGAUUACUGACACUGAGACGCGAAAGCGUGGGGAGCAAACAGGAUUAGAUA
This 279-nucleotide ribosomal RNA is filed under the name uncultured bacterium. Its description in RNAcentral is "partial 16S ribosomal RNA". It matches the Rfam family "Bacterial small subunit ribosomal RNA", at positions 506 to 784 of the family's 1533-position model. The record is from RNAcentral.